This 253-nucleotide ribosomal RNA is filed under the name uncultured bacterium. RNAcentral describes it as "partial 16S ribosomal RNA". It matches the Rfam family "Bacterial small subunit ribosomal RNA", at positions 524 to 776 of the family's 1533-position model. The record is from RNAcentral.
UACGUAGGGGGCAAGCGUUGUCCGGAUUUAUUGGGCGUAAAGAGCGUGUAGGCGGCUUGGUAGGUCCGCUGUGAAAACUCGAGGCUCAACCUCGAGAUGUCGGCGGAAACCACUUGGCUAGAGUCCGGAAGAGGAGAGUGGAAUUCCGGGUGUAGCGGUGGAAUGCGUAGAGAUCCGGAAGAACACCAGUGGCGAAGGCGGCCUGCUGGGCAGUGGCUGACGCUGAGGCGCGACAGCGUGGGGAGCAAACAGG